Molecule: ribosomal RNA, 1159 nt
Filed under: Escherichia coli
Lineage: Bacteria; Pseudomonadati; Pseudomonadota; Gammaproteobacteria; Enterobacterales; Enterobacteriaceae
Description: partial 23S ribosomal RNA
Rfam family: Bacterial large subunit ribosomal RNA
Source: RNAcentral
UUAGGCGUGUGACUGCGUACCUUUUGUAUAAUGGGUCAGCGACUUAUAUUCUGUAGCAAGGUUAACCGAAUAGGGGAGCCGAAGGGAAACCGAGUCUUAACUGGGCGUUAAGUUGCAGGGUAUAGACCCGAAACCCGGUGAUCUAGCCAUGGGCAGGUUGAAGGUUGGGUAACACUAACUGGAGGACCGAACCGACUAAUGUUGAAAAAUUAGCGGAUGACUUGUGGCUGGGGGUGAAAGGCCAAUCAAACCGGGAGAUAGCUGGUUCUCCCCGAAAGCUAUUUAGGUAGCGCCUCGUGAAUUCAUCUCCGGGGGUAGAGCACUGUUUCGGCAAGGGGGUCAUCCCGACUUACCAACCCGAUGCAAACUGCGAAUACCGGAGAAUGUUAUCACGGGAGACACACGGCGGGUGCUAACGUCCGUCGUGAAGAGGGAAACAACCCAGACCGCCAGCUAAGGUCCCAAAGUCAUGGUUAAGUGGGAAACGAUGUGGGAAGGCCCAGACAGCCAGGAUGUUGGCUUAGAAGCAGCCAUCAUUUAAAGAAAGCGUAAUAGCUCACUGGUCGAGUCGGCCUGCGCGGAAGAUGUAACGGGGCUAAACCAUGCACCGAAGCUGCGGCAGCGACGCUGAUGCGUUGUUGGGUAGGGGAGCGUUCUGUAAGCCUGCGAAGGUGUGCUGUGAGGCAUGCUGGAGGUAUCAGAAGUGCGAAUGCUGACAUAAGUAACGAUAAAGCGGGUGAAAAGCCCGCUCGCCGGAAGACCAAGGGUUCCUGUCCAACGUUAAUCGGGGCAGGGUGAGUCGACCCCUAAGGCGAGGCCGAAAGGCGUAGUCGAUGGGAAACAGGUUAAUAUUCCUGUACUUGGUGUUACUGCGAAGGGGGGACGGAGAAGGCUAUGUUGGCCGGGCGACGGUUGUCCCGGUUUAAGCGUGUAGGCUGGUUUUCCAGGCAAAUCCGGAAAAUCAAGGCUGAGGCGUGAUGACGAGGCACUACGGUGCUGAAGCAACAAAUGCCCUGCUUCCAGGAAAAGCCUCUAAGCAUCAGGUAACAUCAAAUCGUACCCCAAACCGACACAGGUGGUCAGGUAGAGAAUACCAAGGCGCUUGAGAGAACUCGGGUGAAGGAACUAGGCAAAAUGGUGCCGUAACUUCGGGAGAAGG